GCUUAAGUUUGGGGACAAUCUUGAGAGUUGGUUCCCUGCGUUGAAAACGUUCUGAAGUUUGUCUCUUGUUCAAGUUCAGGGGUCCGCACGGCAGAAGCCGAGCUAUUUCAUUGCUGGAUACGGAUUUAGCUGAGUCCCCUGCACCCUACUUCACCCUCCCGGAACGUGCGGGAAAGCGUGCUGGGGGUUCAGCUCUGCUUCACAGGGGCGGUCUCUUUAGGGGUGGAAUUGAGGGUGCAGUGUCUAGAUGGGAAUGAGCAUUCCGGAAAUCAGAAAUUCGGGGAACCGGGAUUUCGCCUGCGCCCGACUCCCGCCCCCGCGCAACGUGCGCACCUCCCCACCCCCAGCACACACUAUAGCACUCCUUCCGCCCUGAUUUGCCUCCGGGAAAACAAGUCGGGAGAGCUGGGGGCACUCGCCCAAAAUCACCCUGGAGAACCGGGAGUCUGGAAUAGAAGCACGCUUGUAUCUCUCCACUCCCUGUCUGGUGGUGGGCCCAUAUUCUAUGCAGCCUCUAGGAAGCGCUAGACCCAUGUGUCUUUCACCAACCAGAGGCCAAGCAUCAAGAAGGCAGAAGAAAGUAUCUCUUGGUCUUCACUGAGUCUACAGCAUCUAGCAUGGCACAGAGAGUGUGCUCAGUCCAUCUGGGUUAUUCAUCAGAGGUUUUUGUCAAGGAGAAGUUCAAAACUGUACAUCACCCUUAUGGGCAUGCCUAGACUGCACUCAAAAUUUUCACAAAACUUUCAGGAUCAUAAAGUAGCCAGAGUCCUUCUGGGUGAUCUUCCAAGACCUGUCCUUCUCCCAGUGAAGGACCUCCUUUGGCAGCAUCUUGGCUACUUAAAUAUUGUAGCCACAGAGUGAGGACAUGAUGCCCAGAGAGCAGUAGUAAUAAUUCUACUUAGUGCUGUUGGCUGGACACCUUCAGGAAUACUGUGGGUAUGAAACUUGGAGAGCAAUUUUGGCCAACCAUAGAGAUCUGAAGGUAGGAUGGCUACACCAUAAGAGACCUGAAACCAUGCUCCAUCGGAAAGAACUGAAAGAACUGGGAUUAUUCAGGGGGUCAUGGGGUAGGGAUGGUGGGGACAAGACAGAACAUAUAGGAGUCUCCAAAUAAGGGGAGUUGACUUACUCUGUAGGCUUUGAGGUCAGAGCUAGAGUAAUGUUAGAAGUUAGAGAAGACAGCUGCUAUAUUUAAGGAAGAACUUGCUGAAAUUAGUUAUUUAUCAAUAGGACAAUUACUUUAACUGUAGAAUUGAAGUCCUUCCACUCAACACAUAUUUAUUGUCUUCUAUGUUCCAGACACUCUGUAAGGUUAGUUUAUGAUAAUUCCUAGCAAGCACAUAGUACUUGUGGUAAUCAUCACUUAUUUUCACAAUUCAUAAAAGCCAUCUUAAGUAAUCUCAUUUAGAAUUUGGAGUUUGUCUCCAACAUUAGUGGUUUCUCAAUUCUAGAGUUGCACAUUUUUACUCACAAAAUUUGUAAACUGCAUUGAUGUUUUCUCAUGUCCAAUGUUAGUUAUGGACAUUCUUCUAUCAAAACAAGUGUUUUCAGUAUCAUAAAUCAAAAUUACCUAUACUUUAUCCACUGUCUUUAUUGCUUCCAUAUUUAAGGAUCACUUGGGACGAUGAGAUACUUACUGUUCUGGUAGAAGAACUAUAAAGUAUUCACCAAGCCCCUGCCCUUUUGUACCUUGGUACACAGCUAGACUGCAUUUCCUGGCUCCUUUGUAAGUAGGUGUUCCUGAGUUUUAAACAUUGCAAAGAGGGUCAGAAGGAUGUGUGUCACAGGCCUGGUUCAUAAAACCAUCUCUCCCUAUCUCCUGAUAAGGGACUCCAAGGUCAUAUACAAGGAUACAACCACAGAGAAAAGGAGCCUGGAUCUCUGAAAGAAGGUCGUCUAAAACCCAGAAAUAGGGUUUGGACUUGGAAUGAGAAAUCAACUUUAUUGUGUAGAUGGACUGAGAUUUGGGAUAUUUGUUAGAGCUGCCAAUGUCAUCUUACUGCAGUUGGUGCUGCAGGAUAACCUCAGUGAGGGAUCACAGAUCCAAAGUAGGGGUUUUGUCCCAGUUUGAAGAGAAUUAAUGGAGAAGACAGAGUAAAGCAGAUGGCACUUAAUUGCAUAUGGAGGCUUCCUUUUGCUAAUAUUUUCUUCCCAUCUAAUUUAUAAACUUCAUGAGGCAUGUUAGCAUGUCUUAUGUCCUCGUAGAGUGAGUAUUUACUGAGAAAUGCCUCGUGCUUUGGGGUUUUCAGAAAGAAUCCAGAGAGCACAUACUGUUAAACAUUCAUUAAUUCAACCGUGUGUGAGUAUUUACCAUAGACCUGUCUCUGGUGAUCAUGGUAAACAGGAACUACAGGCCUACCUACAAGUUGACAGAUAGCAAGGAAAGUGGGUAACCAGGAGGCAAGACUAUUCCAGUCUGAUAAUGCCGUGAUGUGACAGACAGGAACAGGAUUCUCUGUCUGCACAUGGCACCUAACAAGGGUAGAGACCAGAGAAUUGUUGUUAAGAAGGUGGUGAAAGUUUUAAACUGAGACUUCCAGGAUGAAUAGAAGUACCCAGAAGAAGUGGAGGUGGUGCAGAAAGAAAGAAUAAUCUAAGAAGAGUCAGGACGUACAACAAGGCCUGGUGUUAAGGAAUGUAGGGUAUGUUUGGAGGGACAAAAGGGAAGCAAGAAAGGAAGAGUGAGGAUGAGCAUCAGAGGAGGGCUUUGUGGUUUAUGUGCACAUGUGCUGAAGUGCACCUGGAGGCCUUGCACUAUGUUCAAGCAUCAUACACUAAGAUGUGUAUGCAUGUUCUUAGGAAAUAUGACUGGGUAGCCAUCAAGAUGUCAAUGAAUGGGCUGGGAUUGUGGCUCAGUGGUAGAGCACUUGCCUCACAUAUGUGAGGCACUGGGUUUAAAUCUCAGCACUGCAUAUAAAUAAAUAAAAUAAAGGUCCAUCAACAACUAAAAAAAUAUUCUUAAGAAAUGUCAAUGAGUGCUAUUUGGGUAAAUUCCACUGUCCUUAUUGCUUCCCUGUUUGUUUUAAACUUUUCUGCAAUAAACAUGUAUACUCGCAAUUUAAAAAAA
Ictidomys tridecemlineatus (thirteen-lined ground squirrel) is the source of this 3067-nucleotide non-coding RNA. NCBI's taxonomy places the organism in Eukaryota, Metazoa, Chordata, Mammalia, Rodentia, Sciuridae. The record is from RefSeq and is a predicted model, not a curated record.